AAUAUUAAAGUGGGACCGAUGGAACGUAUGUCCAUCGAAUUCUAUUCUAAAGGUUUAAAAAAUGCGAAGUAAAUUUCGAACUAUGCGUUUGUUUC
Molecule: non-coding RNA, 95 nt
Organism: Caenorhabditis elegans
Lineage: Eukaryota; Metazoa; Nematoda; Chromadorea; Rhabditida; Rhabditidae
Source: Ensembl